Molecule: long non-coding RNA, 222 nt
Filed under: Gallus gallus (chicken)
Lineage: Eukaryota; Metazoa; Chordata; Aves; Galliformes; Phasianidae
Source: RNAcentral
CUGCCAUCGUCUUGGACUUCUGCUUGCUGCUGGAGCAGCUUCUUUAUCCCAUUGUAGUCACUGUCUGAUAUGGAAUGCGCUUCAAAUUCAACAUUCACCUCCUCAUCGACCUGCUCGUCCUCCUCGGACCCUGAGUCGCCCGAUUCCGGCUCCGAGUCCGAAUCCGACUCCGAGUCCCGCUCCGGAGCUGCAGGCCGCUGCCGGGCUCUGCGCUUGGCCGGC